Molecule: long non-coding RNA, 4213 nt
Organism: Amborella trichopoda
Lineage: Eukaryota; Viridiplantae; Streptophyta; Magnoliopsida; Amborellales; Amborellaceae
Source: RefSeq, a predicted model, not a curated record
AACCUGCCUAUGGUAUGGGUCUGGGUAUCAUUGGAGAGAGAGAAGGAGAUAAAAAUAGAUAGUGAUGGACCCGCCCUAGGCGCGGGUCCGUGCGUUUAGGUGGACAAGAUAAAAAUGAAGGAUGAUAGACCUGCCCUAGGUGUGGUUCCGUGCAUUUAGACGGGUGACAGAGAGAGAGAACGAGAUGAAGAUGAGGGAUGACGGACCCGCCUAGGUGCAGGUCCAUGCGUUUUAGACGGGUGUGAGAGAGAUACGUAGAUGAGGGAUGACGAAAGACGGGCUGUGCCUAGGCGAGGGCCCAAGCAUUUUUCGUGAGAAAAGGGGUUCGUCCGAGUUUUUUUUCGUGAGAGAGGAGGUACGUCCGAGUUUUAUAAGUGUGAAUGGGUGCAUUUUCACCCAUUUCAUCCUCACCUCUCUUGUUCUUCUAGAGAGAAAGUGAGAGGGACCUUUCUUUAAAGAGAAAAAGUGACCUUCAAGAUAAUAUAUUUGGGGACCAUGGCUAUACUUCUAACCCCCAGUCAUAAUUCUUGAAGCGAACCAUUUACCGCGUCUUAGAGACUUGGGCACUGAUGCAUAUAAAGGUGCUUCUUUUACAAGAUCCACAAACCUUGGUGUCUUGAAAUCACUCAGAGGCUGGAAUGGCCCUUAAGCGUCACCUAUGUAGGUGAAGACACUCAGUUUUAUCUUUAUGAAGAUGCAAAUGGUGAACCUGUGAUUCAAGGAGAUGGUGUACCCAUGUAUCAUUCGCUUCAUAGGAAUUUUGAUUCAAGUGAGAAUCUCCCCACUCUAGGGAAGAGAAUGAUGGAGAAAGAAGGCCUUCAUUGGGAAUCUAGUGGACUCCGGUUUGAGGGAGAGCACCAAUACAUGCGGGGGUAUAGCACAUGGAUGUUUGAUGUCCUUCAAUCGCAUGCUAAGGAUGUAGUAGCAUGUGCUUUAUCUGCAGCUUGCCAAUGCUCAGCUAGUUACUACAAUAGGUGCUCAAAUACAAUCAAGGCCCUCUUGGAGCUCUGGUGUCAUAAAGUAACAGCUGGCACCUUCAUCACAAUGAAGAGGGAAUUACCCUCCUUGACAUGUACUUCAAUGGUGGGUUGCCCAUGCUGGGGGCCAUGUAUGAAGGGUUCAUCCCCAGUAACGGGCUAAUUUUUGGAACUCAAACCAUCAAUGGUGAACCACACGCUUCAGGUCUUCGUGAGUUGUUCGAAAUUUACCAACUCCUACUUUCAGAGACCAAGACCAAAUCCAAGAUAAUGCAUUUCAAUGCAUGAAGGGAUUUCUUUCAUGAGAAUCUUCAAGAUAAAGAGGAACCCAAUUCCAGUGCCGUCUGGGAUGAUGAUGAGCAAGAGGUGGAAGAAGAGACCAAGGAUCUAGUGAACCCUCCUAGAAGGCCUGAAAAGGACCAUGUGUACUGGCUACAUAUCUCACUCUCUUUUUGUGCAAAUUGCACUCCCAAGGUCAAAGGGUAAUGCCAUCCAUCCUGGUUGCUUCUUUGUGGCCUAUAGCCUUGCUCAAGGGCGUAAAUAUUCCUUGGCCCAACCAGUCCUUUAUAGCAUAUACCACAGUUUAGGAGCAAUUGCAUGUGGUAAGGUAGCAUCUAGAGAUAGCAAGAGUGAGUCUUUUGACGGAGAGGUCUUACCUGGCCGUUUCAAAACGAGCUUCCAUGUUCAUUAUAUCUUUGGCUAGCUCUCAGCAUACUUUCCCAAGAAAUAAUCUCCUCCUUAUACCCCCAGAGCAUAUGAGAUCAAUGAGGCUUUGUCAGAGUAUACUUGCCCUCAAAUGUUGAGGAUUGUUGGGAUGAAGGCCAUAUUUAGAGGACCAAGCGAGGCACAUUGAUUCCUAGCUGACCACUCCUUCUUCUCUCGUGGGGACCCCUUUCCUGUAGGUGGUCCCACUGACCGUGUUUACACAAUUGCUUUUGGUGAGGCCUUUGAUGGACAUACCACUAAGACCCGAGAAGCCAUGUAUCUCCUAAGUGCUAGGGGAUGCAUCUUACCUUAUAGGGGUGUCAGAGAUAAGAAGCUUGAAGCUACUUUCCCCACAGAUUUGCACGCCAACAUAGCUCAGACCAAGGGUGCUCCUUCUCGAUACUUUUUGCGAAGAAGUAUGGGAAGAAGGGGUCUCAACAAUACCAUGAUGCUCCAGGUGAAAGUCGUGAAUCCUAGACAGGUAGCAACAAGAGAAUGACUUGGGAAACCUGUCUUGCUCGUACUGGCUUGAGCAAGUUUGUCAUCCCCCAUUAUGGUCAUGUAGGCCAUGCCACUGAGGGUUAUUAGCAGUGGUGGAACACCACCAACCGUUCUUACUAGAAGGCAACCCAUGCAUGGAAGGCCAUCAAUAGUACUAAGCAUGAUACAAGGCACAUGAUGCAUUUCACACCUCCAUUCUUCUUCAAGGUUUACAAACUUGAUUACCCCUUGGACUGGAAGGGGCUUGGAUAACCUUGAUCAUUAGCCAUGGACCAUACUAGCAUCCAAUAUCUCUCAUUUGAAGGUGAAUCCAGGUCUUUUUUUUUAUGACCUUUGUUCAAUCUUCAAGUGGACCAAGGGUCGUGCGGUCCCUGGUUAUGUAGGUCGUCAUGUUCAACACCUCAAUGCUUUUAUAACGAGUGGAUUGCAUUCAGCUCCGGUUGCCAAAUCUCGCUAUGGUCAAAAGACCAAGAUUGCUCGUUCAAAGUCAAGAUAUGAGGCAACUCCAGAGAAGAGGGUAAAGAAGAAAGGGACAAAGAAGAAGAAGGGCAUAAAGAGCCCCGAACCCAGUAGUACUGUAGAACUUGAGGUUCGUAGAAAGAGUACCCAACUGAGCAAGAGGGCUUUGUCAAGUCCAAAUGCAUCUCAUUUGGUUCCAUUUGCUUCAAGUGAAGGAUUUGAUUUACCUCCCAGGUCGAAGAAGUGUAAAAAGACGAAGGCGCCAGCUAGCCCAACUCUAUCAUCAGAGGCAGCAUCUCCCGUUCAAGAGACAAUUCCUGAAAUUGUCACAACCCAACUAAGUUCAUCUAGUCAGACUUCCUUUGGCUUGAGCUGUUGACCAGAAAAGUCCCUCUCUUGUGGUAGAAAUAGGGGCACCCAUCGCUGACAACCCAAUUCAUCUUGAAUUAGACUCUCUCAUCAUUGAGCCAGGGAGACUUUCUCUGCACUAUUACUGAAGAAGGGAAUAUUCUUGAAGUUGAGCCUGAAGCAAUCGGUGUGGCUCCAGACAUCGAAACAACAACUUCAAAAGUGCCCGCUCGAACUAAUUAAGAAGCAGAGCCCCAACCAGAUGCUUCUUCAAGUAAAACUUUGGAACUUGUAGUUGUUCAUAUUCCUGAAGUGCCAAUUUCAGCAAUUCCAAAUGUAAAGCUCCCAUCCAAGCCAGAUGCUCCUUCCAGUGAGUCCUUGGCCCUUGUUUCUCAAGAACCAGCGAUUGUUGCUAAAGUUGCACCCCUUGUGGUGAUUAGUUCUUCAUAUUUGCCUUCUUCGGUGUCAAGCACCAUGUCAAAUAGGAAGACUUUGAUGGUAGAGAACUUGUUAUAGUCAAUUCUUCAAGGGCUAAAGGAAUGCUUCCUCUCUGAUCUUGCAGCUGAGAUUAUUGCAGUCAGGGACUGUGCUACUGCUUUGAUGAUUGUUAGCUAUGAAAAGGAAACCUUUGAACUAUUCAAAGGUCUUUUUAAUGACCUUGAACGAUGGAGAGUCCAGCGUUAAGCUGAAAUGCAACAAUUAUGUGGGGGUCGCCUGGCUUCUUUAGAGGACUCCUUGGCUCAGCAUCAGAGCCUCAUAAUGAGCGAUAAGGAUAAGAAGGUCUCUGUCCUUUCUCAUCAGACUAGCUUCAAAAAUGAAGACACUAUAUAUUCUGCAAAGAUAAAGGCUACAGAGGAAGAAAGGAAAAGUUGGAAACUUAUAUCCACCGGUUGAAGACUGAGCAGGAUCAGAAGAGAGAAGAGGCUCGAAGCAAGUCUCAGGAAUUAGAAAAAUUGGACUCCGAGGUGGCCUUGACCAACACAUUGUCAAGUUAAAUUACUCAGGUGAUCUCCCACCUCCAAGAGCAUAUGAAUAUGGCCUCAGAGCACUCAAAAGUGUUGAAGACCAAGAUUCAUGAAGCCUUUGACAAUUUCUAGGGGCUCAUGAAUUAUUUACUCUUUUUGCUUGUUCUAUCUUUUUUUCAUUUCUUUUGCAUAUUUUUGAUAACUGUAACCAUAAUUUUGUAAUCUUCUAUUAUGUGGAAUGAAUGCUAUUUUCUUUCU